RNAcentral lists this ribosomal RNA (468 nucleotides) under uncultured bacterium. RNAcentral describes it as "partial 16S ribosomal RNA". It matches the Rfam family "Bacterial small subunit ribosomal RNA", at positions 28 to 507 of the family's 1533-position model. The record is from RNAcentral.
GACGAACGCUGGCGGCGUGCUUAACACAUGCAAGUCGAACGGAAAGGCCCUGCUUUUGUGGGGUGCUCGAGUGGCGAACGGGUGAGUAACACGUGAGUAACCUGCCCUUGACUUUGGGAUAACUUCAGGAAACUGGGGCUAAUACCGGAUAGGAGCUCCUGCUGCAUGGGGGGGGUUGGAAGGUUUCGGCGGUUGGGGAUGGACUCGCGGCUUAUCAGCUUGUUGGUGGGGUAGUGGCUUACCAAGGCUUUGACGGGUAGCCGGCCUGAGAGGGUGACCGGCCACAUUGGGACUGAGAUACGGCCCAGACUCCUACGGGAGGCAGCAGUGGGGAAUAUUGCACAAUGGGCGGAAGCCUGAUGCAGCAACGCCGCGUGCGGGAUGACGGCCUUCGGGUUGUAAACCGCUUUCGCCUGUGACGAAGCGUGAGUGACGGUAAUGGGUAAAGAAGCACCGGCUAACUACGUG